RNAcentral lists this ribosomal RNA (2118 nucleotides) under Mirabilicoxa sp. Its description in RNAcentral is "SSU rRNA". It matches the Rfam family "Eukaryotic small subunit ribosomal RNA". The record is from RNAcentral. Lineage: Eukaryota; Metazoa; Arthropoda; Malacostraca; Isopoda; Desmosomatidae.
CAUAUGCUUGUCUCAAAGAUUAAGCCAUGCAUGUCUGAGUACAGACCGAUCUAAGGUGAAACCGCGAAUGGCUCAUUAAAUCAGUCAUAAUUCCUUGGAUAGUGAAAAACUUUCCUCGGAUAACUGUGGAAAAUCCAGAGCUAAUACGUGCAACUGAGCUCCGACCACGACGCGAGUCGCGGGAAGAGCGCAUUUGUUAGAUUCAAAACUGACCGGUGUACUCCUUCGGGAUACGCCGUUUGUUAAAAUUUGAUGACUCAGGACAACUAAGUCGAGCGCUCCGGUCUUUAGUACCGGCGCCGUAUCUUUCAAGUGUCUGCCUUAUCAGCUUUCGAUUGUAGGUUAAACGCCUACAAUGGCUGUAACGGGUAACGGGGAAUCAGGGUUCGAUUCCGGAGAGGGAGCCUGAGAAACGGCUACCACAUCUAAGGAAGGCAGCAGGCACGCAAAUUACCCACUCCCAGCCCGGGGAGGUAGUGACGAAAAAUAACGAUGCGAGACUCUUCCGAGGCCUCGCAAUCGGAAUGAGUCCAGUUUAAAUCCUUGGACGAGGAUCCAUUGGAGGGCAAGUCUGGUGCCAGCAGCCGCGGUAAUUCCAGCUCCAAUAGCGUAUAUUAAAGUUGCUGCGGUUAAAAAGCUCGUAGUUGGACUUUCUAGAUCCAUUUCGUGGAUGAGUCGCUCUUUGUGCUAGCGUCUCGCGCGGUUCCUUGACCAAGUCAUCGCGAGCGUACUUCCCUUUUGGCUUCGGUCGAUCGAGAGGUUGCGAGCGCCGAUGUACCCAAUCUCGUGGACGGCGAGUCGUUGUCUUAGAGUAUAGCUCGUCCGCGUUUGGUACAAUUAAAAUUUUGUCGGCUCGCUCGGAGUGCUCUUUACCGAGUGUUCCAGGGUGGCUGACACGUUCACUUUGAAAAAAUUAGAGUGCUUAAAGCGGGCUUAUUUACGGCCUGAAUGUCUGUGCAUGGAAUGAAGUAACAGGACCUCGAUUCUGUUGUUUUUGUCGGUUUUAUUGAACCGAGGUAAUGAUUAAAAGGGACAGACGGUGGCAUUAGUAUUGCGGCGCUAGAGGUGAAAUUCUUGGACCGUCGCAAGACUAACUACUGCGAAAGCAUUUGCCGAGAAUGUUUUCAUUAAUCAAGAACGAAAGUUAGAGGAUCGAAGGCGAUCAGAUACCGCCCUAGUUCUAACCCUAAACUAUGCUAACUAGCGAUCCGCCGGAGUCAUUCCCACGACCCGGCGGGAAGCCCCAGGGAAACCAAAGUCUUUGAGUUCCGGGGGAAGUAUGGUUGCAAAGCUGAAACUUAAAGGAAUUGACGGAAGGGCACCACCAGGAGUGGAGCCUGCGGCUUAAUUUGACUCAACACGGGAAACCUCACCAGGCCCGGACAUCAGUAGGAUUGACAGGUUGAGAGCUCUUUCUCGAUUUGAUGGGUGGUGGUGCAUGGCCGUUCUUAGUUGGUGGAGUGAUCUGUCUGGUUGAUUCCGAUAACGAACGAGACUCUACCCUACUAACUAGUCGGCGGAUCGUAACCCUGAGAUGGUUAGUUUGUAUAGGAGAGUUUUGCCUAGGCGGAAUACGUCGUCGGUUUGAGAGCGCGGGGGUGUAUUAUGGUUCCUGAUCUUUACGGUGAUGGGUCGUAUUCCUUCCGUGUUUGAUGUCGGCGGCGCUCUGUCGAAGCUGCUUUCUGAUUACUGCUACUGCUGGGGGCGUCCGUCGCAAUGUAUCUUCUUAGAGGGAUCAGCGGCGUAUAGCCGCACGAGAAAGAGCAAUAACAGGUCUGUGAUGCCCUUAGAUGUUCUGGGCCGCACGCGCGCUACAAUGUAGGGCUCAGCGUGCUUCCCCUCUCCGAAAGGAGCGGGUAACCCGUUGAAACCCCUACCCGAUUGGGAUUGGGGAUUGCAAUUAUUUCCCAUAAACGAGGAAUUCCCAGUAAGCGCGAAUCAUUAAUUCGCGCUGAUUACGUCCCUGCCCUUUGUACACACCGCCCGUCGCUACUACCGAUUGAAUGAUUCAGUGAGGGCAUCGGACUGGCCCUUCGGUUUAGUAACCUAGACCUUAGGCUGACGGAAAGAUGUCCGAACUUGAUCAUUUAGAGGAAGUAAAAGUCGUAACAAGGUUUC